RNAcentral lists this small RNA (696 nucleotides) under Pongo abelii (Sumatran orangutan). RNAcentral's name for it is "retained intron". Lineage: Eukaryota; Metazoa; Chordata; Mammalia; Primates; Hominidae. The record is from RNAcentral.
CUCUUUUCGUUUUGCCACCCUUUUCCAGCUCCACGAUGGUUCUGCAGGUUUCUGCGUCCCCCCAGACAGUGGCUCUGAUGGCGUUACUGAUGGUACUGCUCACAUCUGUGGUCCAGGGCAGGGCCACUCCAGAGAAUUACGUGUACCAGAGACUGUUUGAAUGCUAUGCGUUUAACGGGACACAGCGCCUCCUGGACAGACUCAUCUACAACCAGGAGGAGUACAUCCGCUUCGACAGCGACCUUGGGGAGUACAGGACGGUGACGGAGCUGGGACGGCGUACUGCUGAGUACUGGAACAGCCAGAAGGACAUCCUGGAGCUGGAGCGGGCCGAGGUGGACAGGGUGUGCAGACACAACUAUGAGCUGGAGGAGCCACUCAUCCGGAAGCGCCAAGGUGAGUGAGGGCUUUGGGCCAGGGGUCCCAAGGCAGCCGCAGGGGCCCGAGCCCAGAGAGCAGGGGCAGCUGGGCCGGCCUAAGGGAACUUAAGUGCCAGGCGGGAAGAGGACUUUGGGCUGGGGAUUGAUGGGGAGCCCAUCCAGAGCAUGCAUGUCAGGGGAGUGAGCACGGGGACCUGGACUGUGCUGAGCAUGGAGUGAGGAAGAUGAGCACAGAGAGACCCCCGGGACUACAUGAGGCCUGGCAGCUGACUGCAUGUGGGGUGAAAAAAGGAGGCCACAGGACAGCAUGCAGGGG